RNAcentral lists this RNase MRP RNA (430 nucleotides) under Pyrenochaeta sp. DS3sAY3a. Its description in RNAcentral is "RNase MRP". It matches the Rfam family "RNase MRP". From Rfam's summary of the family: RNase MRP is an enzymatically active ribonucleoprotein with two distinct roles in eukaryotes. In mitochondria it plays a direct role in the initiation of mitochondrial DNA replication. The record is from Rfam by way of RNAcentral. Lineage: Eukaryota; Fungi; Ascomycota; Dothideomycetes; Pleosporales; Cucurbitariaceae.
UCCUCGCUCAAAGAAUCGCAACGAAGCACGCACACAGAGUAUCCAUCGGAUAUCUCUCCAUCACCGCUUUGGGAGAAAGUCCCCGGACAUCGGUCUUUACGACCGCACUUUCAGCAACGAACCGCCAUAGAAGCGCGGCUUCCGUACCCUCAGGCCCUGCUUACCUCUCUUCCGUCUGGACUCUUUCCCCUCACUUUCCCGAAGCUGCAGGUGGAGGGGCUGACGCUUGGGCGAUGAUAUGAGUCCGUUGGCUACCUUGCUUGUGUUGCUAAGGGGAUGUUGAGGCUAAGAGGAGGAGGAGAGCUACCAGCCAGCAGUGCCGGUACGGGAGGUCUUCUCGUCCAGUUUAUGGUUAUGCGAUUGCCUGCAGGCACUCCGGUCAACGGGUUGCUCUGCAGGUAACUCAAUGGGGCUUAUUCUUGAUGCGAGG